AGUAUAUGAAUCUUAAAAUAUAUAAUAGAAAGUGGGGUCUUUGCUGGGGAAUCCAUGACAUUUGGGGGUCCUUGACAUCAAAAAAGUUUGAAAACCCCUGUGUAUUAAACUAUGAUCUAUGCGACAAAUGAGUGGCUGUUCUUUGUUUUAAAGACUCAAAAGUGUAAAAUGGAUGUUGGUCUCAACUAGUAUUCAAUCAAAAAACACUGAAGGCAUUUUCUCAGUUCAUGUGCUGUCAUAUUUUCUUCAGGAUUCUUAGCAUUUUGCCUUAGCAGGGCAGCAUAAGCUUCUCUAUGUUUAUUUUUGUAACUGUUUAAAUGAGCCUAGUAUACUAAUUUGUUUUGUCCAUGUCUCUUUCAGCUGUGGCCGUGCUGUUAUGCAUCAUACUGUCAGCAGAAGCAUCUGAUGUCCUGCGAUGCACAGGGGAGAGACAACACGAUGGGCAGUUCUACUUCAACAUGUCGCAUGGCCUUCAAGAGGACGUCGAUGACUGCGAGACCCAAUGGGUCAUCAAUGGAAGCGUGGCAGGGAUUUUUAAUGCUGAUGAAAAUAAGUUCAUACCCCCACUUGUAAUGGCAACAGCAAACAUUGCCCUCUUACAGACCUGCCCUGAAAAACUUGAAUGCCUGCUCAUCUGCCCCUCCGCCAGUGUAAGUGUAAUACUGUUUGUGUUUUAGAUUUUAUGGCCAUCAAAUGAAUUUAAUAGCAUAACCUAACUAACAUUGCUUUGCACCCAUAUGCUUUCUUUAUGGAUUUUUAUUUAUUUUGCAGAUCAACACAAGGGAGCAGUGCUCUUGUAAGUAAUUGACUUACUACUAUAUAAUACUUCAACACAAUUUUAGCACAUAGUAAUAUCGAGUAACUAAAAAUAAAAGACUAGAGAUCUUUUAUUGCCCUAGUAUGUGCAAUAAAGUGAAAUAAAAUUGUUUUGCAGGUGAUAUCACUUCUCCGACUACACUUCCUGAAGGUAAGGUCAACUGCUUAUGCUGUAGCACUGUUUUAAACUAUUAACAUGAAAGUACUCAAAUAAAGUGAUGCCACUGUACACUCACACAUUUUCUGUUAGCAAAAAAAGGCUUUUUUUAGGCCAGCAAACUAGUAUCCUGUUUCAGACACCAGAAUGCUAUGAAUCGCACAUGCUCGGUUUAAUAUUUUUCAAGUUCUUUAAUGACACAAGUGAACAUAAGAGAAAUUUGUCGCUCCAUCAAAAAGUCCAUUCACCCAAAACUGUGGCUCUUAAAAAUCUUAAGAAAGAGAUAAAAAAAAUUAAUCCAUUUGAAUUAAUUGGUUUAAUCCAAGUCUUCUGAAAAGACUCGAUCGCUUUAUAUGAGGAACAGAUUUAAUUUAGUCUAUUAUUCACAUAAACAUUGAUCAGCAAACUGUGUUUACAGUAUUAAAUUUUGUUCACGGAAGCUCAAGCAUGCUUGCUUGAUGUGCAAAAAACAAUGAGGUUAAUUCUUGCGUGUUACACCAGCACAUUUCAGCUUCCGCAAGAACCCAGGGGGUUGUCUUCAUGCAUCAAGCAAGUAUGGUUGAGCUUUAUGUUCGCUGAUCAAUGUUUAUAUGUGAAUAAAAACAUAAAUUAAACCUGUUCACCAUAUAAAGCAAUCAUAUCUCUUCAGAAGACUUGGAUUCUAAUGGAUAUGUUACGAUCUUUUUGAAGUGUCUGAAUUUUGGGUGAAUAGACUUUUAAAUGAGGGACAGCAAUCAGAUUUGAUAUAAAAUAAUUUGUGUUCCGAAGAUAAAUGAAAUUCUUAUGGGUUUGAAAUUACAUGAGUAAAUGAGAGAAUUUUCAUUUUGAGGUUAACGUUGUCACACCUGCUUGCUGGCUGAUACAGAAUGAUCACACUUGAAGAUCAGUUAAGUAUUUAAUGGAAAACAAACAAACAGUGAUAAUCCAAACAAAGAUAACAUCCAGUGACCUGUAGCACGAAGCCGCUUUCCGUUUUUACCCAGGUAAGUUUGUGUUUAGUUUGAGUAAACUCUUGAGUUUUCGGGUUCAAGAAGGUGGGUUGGUUUUGAGCGGGUUUCGUCACCAUGCUUGCGCUACACAGCUCCCCUGCUCCCCGAGCAGGUUUUUAUUCUGGGUUAAAGAUCUCAAACCCAAACUGGACCAAUCAGCUGUGAGAAAAGUUACAUAUAUCUGACGCAAUAAAGCCACCUCUCCAUCUCUCGCUUCAAAUUCAAGCAGUUUAUAGUCAAAGAAUUUUAGAGACAAAAUUGCCAGACUUUUGCG
Long non-coding RNA from Sinocyclocheilus grahami, 2236 nucleotides. NCBI's taxonomy places the organism in Eukaryota, Metazoa, Chordata, Actinopteri, Cypriniformes, Cyprinidae. The record is from Ensembl.